This 233-nucleotide ribosomal RNA is filed under the name uncultured bacterium. Its description in RNAcentral is "partial 16S ribosomal RNA". It matches the Rfam family "Bacterial small subunit ribosomal RNA", at positions 118 to 347 of the family's 1533-position model. The record is from RNAcentral.
UGAGUAACCUGCCCUUAACUCUGGGAUAAGCCUGGGAAACUGGGUCUAAUACCGGAUAUGACUCCUCAUCGCAUGGUGGGGGGUGGAAAGCUUUAUUGUGGUUUUGGAUGGACUCGCGGCCUAUCAGCUUGUUGGUGGGGUAAUGGCCUACCAAGGCGACGACGGGUAGCCGGCCUGAGAGGGUGACCGGCCACACUGGGACUGAGACACGGCCCAGACUCCUACGGGAGCAG